AUGUAUUUAUCUGCACAUUCGUAACCUCUCUCUAUCUUUACUUCUGCCAAUUUGUUCACUGCCAUGCUGCUAAAUAAUUUUUUAAAAAUUAUAGCAUGCGAUCUUGGUUCAGUUUUCACUUAAUACCAUACACUUAAUGGGCUACAGUUUUAGUUGAAGUGUAUUUUAAUGUUUCUUGCUCUUGUAAAGUUUGGAAGAUGAUACUAAAAAGCAUCAAAGUCCUUAAAUGAAGAUAAAGAAAACAAGAAAAACAAGCUGAUAGCCAGACAACUGUCUACAGGAAAGAGCAAGCAAGUGUCUAGCCAAGCUAAAAAGCAAGCGAGAACAUCUAAACUCUACCAACAAAAGAGGAAAGUUUUUCGACUGGUAGAAACUAACGAUAAAUUGGGUUCACUGUCCUCCAUACCAAAGGUAGUUUUAAGUAUCACUGAUAUUAAUGCACCAACAACAGGAACGACCGCAAAAUCUGUAACUUCUCCCUCUUGUGUUGUGCCACUACAAGAAAGUAAUUCUAAAGUAAACAUCAUCUCUACCAGUUCAAGUGUAACUGAAAUCAAAAGCGGUCUCACAGUCAACAACAAACCAGUCAGCCUGAUAUCAGCCCCUAUAAUGGCAACCAGCAUAACACCAACUAUACCUGUUCAAAAUUUUGCUCACAACUCAAAUGUCGGGACGUACAUUCUAUCCAACGGACAACUGAUGGCAGUUCAGCAGCCAGCGCAUAUUAUACCUCAAAUAGCACCUCAGAUCUUGAUCAAUCGCCCUGUGACCCCGAUUCUUCUGAUGCAAAACAACAAUAACAUUAAUAGCCAACCCAUAAUUAUCCAAAAUCAUAAUCGCACUCGCGAACCGUUGGCAAAUAAUUGCAGGCCUAUUUAUCCGAAAACGAAACGUGAAAUCACCAGGACAACUUUUAGCUCGCAGAAACCCAUCCCUUCUUUGAAUCUCACCUUUAGUAGCAUAAAAUGCACAAAAGAAAUGAGAACUGAAAUGAUAAGUGGAGGAAAGCAAAAUAGGAACAAGAGACAAAAUUCAAAAUUGGCUACCUUAAAGAAAUUGUCGAAGGAUAAUAUAAAAAAUAGGAAUAAUAGUAGCAAAGAAAAACUUAUGGCAAAAAUGGAUAAAGAGACGUCUGUUCAUAAAAUUAAAAGGUUUGAAAGAAUUAACUUGAUGAAAAUUAAACUUCGAAAGAGGAAACGAAAAAGUCCGAAACAUAUCUUACUUAAUAAGUCUGCAAAUCAUGGAAGUGUGACUAGUCACUUAUCAAGUAAAAGAACUAGUUCAUCACAAAGUCAUGAAUUAAUCGUAAGAAAGAAAUCUAAUUUAGGUUCCUCAAGUAGACAGGAAAGUACAACGCAAGUAAAUAAAGUCCAAAUUUCGAAGAGAAUCUCGAAUAAUUCUGAUGCUACUUGUGGAAGUCAAUCAUCGACAAUUGUGACUUCCUCAAUUGAAUCUUGUGAUUUUAUAAAUACGUCAAAAAGUGUGGUGUCUCUUAGUUUAAGUCCUAAAGGUGCUUUUUCAAGUGAUUCUAUUUUAAGUAAAAAUUUAUUUCCAGAAACUGGUGAAAAAGUCAGUUGUGAUUCGCAGUUAAAAACAAACUCGAACGCCACAGAGGCAUUGACUUCCUCUCAGAUUCAAAGUUAUUCUGCUCAGAACACAAAUAAUUCUUUUAAUUUUGAUCCAAAGUUAGUUGAAACCUUCAAUUUUAACAGUGGCAAAGACGUUUUAACUCAACUGGGUACAUAUGAAAAGAACUCUUUUUUGCCUAUACUACCCCCAUACCUGGAGGAUGUCCGAGAAUUUUCGUCAGAUAUUCUAUCUUCUCUCCAGAUUCCUUCCAAUUUGCACAACUCAGAGUCUUUAUCUCCUACUGCUGCAUUUUUAUUAUCUUUCCCUCUCGUUUCUACCUCUAAAAAUUCUGAGCUACUCAACGAAAAUGAAAAUGAACUCUCCUGUGAGAGCCAAAAUGAUAAUUCCACUUCUAUUAUGCAAAUCGGCAGCCUAGAAUCUCCGUCAUCUGCAAUAAUUGAAGGACAAGCAGUUUUAUUUGAUCAGCAGUUUGCGCAAAUACCUAAACCUAAUUGGCUGUCGAAGAGUUGUGACAAAAUUGAAUCAAAUCAGAAAUACAAUGAAAAUUUAAGUUUUGACAGCUCAAAUAUCACUCCUGUUCAUGCAUCAAACCAUCCAAACAAAAAGAGUUCAGUUUUUGGUGACUCGCCAUGUAAAGCUGUAAGCUCUAAGAAUAAAACAGAUUCAUCUAACGGUUCAAAUCAGCAUGCUGGUAAAAAUUCGCAAACAUUAAUUGAUAAAAUUUCACCUGGUAAAAAAGCCAACAUCCCUGCAACUUCCAGUACCGCUGAUGAUACAAGACAAAAUGUGUCCACGAAGCUCAGUUCAUCAGCGCAGACCGUCACUACCUGCACCACCAAGGAACUUCCGAAAUCUCUUUCGGCUGUUAGCAAUAAUUUGUUGCCAGUUUUUUCUGAGUUGUAUUGUUCUAAAACUGAUAAAACAGCUUGCUUAGAACUCUCUCCGAAAUCUGGAGAAAGAUUCAUUGAAAAUUCCCGGAAACCUUCGGAGAAAAUCAAAAGCAAAGAUAAUACCCUGAACGCUAGAGCAUUUGAAUUAAGCUCUGCAAACAACUCUGAUGUUACUAAAACUAUUUCCAAAAACUGCAAAGAAAAAAUCAAUUCAAGUACUGUGAAUGAAAAUGGUUCCAACAACAAGUCCCUCGUCAACUGGAUGACGACCCCAGAUGUGCGUUUGCAUGGUAUUGAACAAUUCAGUAAUUCAGAGCUAUUCCCGUAUCAAAAUUUCGACUUUCUGGCCUCGUCUACUAUUGCAUGUAGCUCAUACUCCACUUCAUUCACUACGACCAAUAUAGACCAACUUUUUGAAUAUUCGUCAACCACUGACAACAAUAAACUCUACAACCCUAACUACCCAGCAGUUUUGAAUCAAACAAAUGUUUGGUCCCCCAGUAAAAGCUCGCUUCCUCAUCAUAUCGUUGGAACGCAUACAGAUAACAAUUUCAUAAUACCAUCCACUCUGCCAACAUUGAUAGGUGAUUUAGCUUUGGGCACCAACACGACUCCUUUCGUGGAUGCCUUCAAAGUAGCGUCUUUUGAGGCUGUGUCUGAUAAUUAUACUGGGCAAAAAAUUGGUGAGCCACCGAUCAAUGACAAUCUUAAAUCCUAUGAUAGAUCUGAAAACAACCAAAAAAAUCAAGUCAGCACAAAUGAAAAUCAGUCGGGGGCCAGGAGUAAAAUUAAAGAAAACAUCAAUCAGCACCCAUGUUUUGAAAGUAAACAAAGUGCUCCUGCGGCAAAGAGUCAGCAACCCAACAAAUUAGCUGCACUCAAAAAAUCAGAGUCCAGUGACAAAUCUCAACAAACAAGUGCCACCAAUUUCCUGUCUGUAAGUCAAUUAGUCGACCAAAAUCAAGUAAAAUCACAUGAAAUACAAGAUAAUCAAGUCAUGUCUGGGAGCAAACGAAACCUCACCCAUCAGAAGCAGCAAAAUAAAAACAGCGCUAAUAACUUUAAUAACUUUAGCAACAAUACUAGUGAAAAAUACGACCCCAAACAUCGUUUAAUUAAAAGAGGAACAGCAACUUUGAAUAACGGCCACAAUGAAAAUUUUGUUAAUGGCAACGGUCAACGAGUUUUUAAUCAGCAUUCCGUUGUCAGCAAAACAGAGAGUGUCAAUAAUUGCUGGCAGCAUCAAAGUGCAAAAGAGUCGUCCAGCCUUGACACAGGUUUCAAGUCAAAUAAUUACAGCACUGAGUCACUACUGAACAGCGGGAAUAAUCACUCUCAAGUUAUGAACUUCACUGCUAUCUCAGAUUUUCACAAUACUCCAAACUACUCAAUGGACAAAAGUGCAAAGCUUCAAUCUUCGAGUGUCAGUAACUUCUUCAUUCCUCCUGCUCAGCCGUAUCAGAGUAAUCAGCAACAGCUGAUAACCACAAUUCCUGAUAGUAACCCCUUCGGAGAAUCAUUCCAAUUUUCAAACCAGAGCUACCGAGCUGACGCAAGCAUCAGCAAUGAGAAACCAAGAUCGGAUUAUAACGCCCCUGCUUCCUCUUCAAUGAAUUGUCUUCUUUCGAACAAAAAUCCAAGCAUUUCAAAAUCGGAAUUUGCUGUUAAUUUUUAUCCGACAACUUACUCAUCCUCAGCGCCUACUAAAAAUUCAAAAGAGAGGAGAACAUCUUGCAGACAGGUUGCUGAUCAAAAGCAUCCAUCAAACGUCGAGCUGAAUCAUGGAAUCGGCUCACACAUCUCCCCUCCCUUUCCUAGACCCUCUCUUGCUUCAAGUUUUUCUGUUUCUAAUGCUGCACUGACAGGUCCAAUUUAUACCAAUACAUCAUCAUCUUCAUGUGCAAACAAGGUAGAAAAGCAACCUGUCUACUAUCCAAAUGAAAAUAUUCGUAAACCAUGCGUCUCAAUCUCGGAUUAUGCUCCUUUUGAUGACUGCAAUUUUAAAACUCCUCAAAAUCCGCUGUCAAUCACUAACGCUUUCGUCCCUCCGUCUUCUAACAAUGCCACUUUAUUCCUGUCGUCCACGUCGAUACCUACUAAUGUUCUACCAUCAAAUUUCAACAGUAACAGUAAGAGUUUCCCCUUCUUAACUCCAGUUGUUUCGACUCAUUCACUCUCUGUCAGUACGAAUAACAUGCCCUAUUAUACCUCCUCAACUGCUUCGAAUAGUACAUCUAUUUCCACUAUAAACACUAACUUCACUGUAGCGUCAAACACCAUCACAGUUAGCGAAGUUUCAGUAUGCAGCAGUGCUACUGCUUCAAAUUAUCUUCCUCCUUUUAUCGGGUCGAGCACUACAAUAUCUAGUCCCACUGUAAGCUUUUCCCACUAUCUCUCACCAGUAAUUACAACUUCUAAAAACACGAAGCGGACUUCAAGUUGCUCAGUAUCUAAAUCGGUUACUAGUUCUGGCGCCGCAACAUAUCUACCACCAAUAAUUUCAACAGCUUCCAUCUCUAGUAACACAAAUAAAAUUUCCUCCUAUCUUCCUCCAGUCAUUUCCACAAGUUCCUUAGCCUCAACUCGAAAUAAUACAGUAGCAAACUAUUUACCUAAUAUUAUUCCAUCAUCAAGCUCUGCCGAUAAAAACCGCUUGUCAAACUAUUUGUCUCCUGUUAUUCCGACCACCAACACCCUUAGUAACAACAAUUUAACAAAUUAUUUGCCUUCUGUUUUACCUGCUGUUAAUGAUGCUUCGCUUUACUUACCGCUCACCAGUAUCAGCACAACCGGGUCAAGUGUUUCGACUCAAGAUAUCAAUUCAUCUUCAUCGUCCUAUGUAUUAUCCACACCCACUAACACGAAAUUAAACGCUCCCUCAACCCAAGAUAAAUUUGCACAUAAUAAUACACCAUCAUAUCAACCCUACAUUUCGGAUGUACCAACAAGUAAUAGUGGUGUAUUGAAUGGACCAACCACAAACCAUUUACCUGUUUUUUCAAACAAGACAAGUGAUCCUGCGGUUAGCUCAAGCUAUUUACCGGUGUUUUCGAACACAGCUGGGGUCACUUCAUCUUCCACUUACCUACCAAUAUUUUCAAACAGUCCAUCAGAUCUGCCGAUGAUGUCAUCAAGUUAUCUUUCCUUGCCAACCAGUAAUCAGGGUCCUAAUUCGGUUUCAACGCUAAACUCAGCAUACACCUCAAACUAUUUGCCUUCUUCAAGCUUUUCCUCCAGCAAUUAUUUCACUGUCAACUUGAACGCAGCUGUGCCUCACGAUUCACAAAUAUCUAACUCAACCGCAAAUUUCAUCUCUUACUCUGCUCCAUACACUGUAGCUAAUACACCAUGCAGCUCUACAGACGUUCAGUGUUCAUCCAAUUUCUCAAUAUCCUCACCUGCCGCCUCUCGAUCCUCAAAUAAAUCCUCCAAAACCUCCCCAGGCUCCUGCAAAACUUUUGUGUCCGCUAAAAAGGCACCCAACAGCGCUGAAGUCCUCAAUUCAGAGGCUAAAAAAGUGCAUUCUACAAACCAAAAGCUCAAUCAAGAGGAUACUAGUUUGAGAACAAGCAAUAAGGAGAAUUCUUCCACUAAAGCUGUACUGAAAUCGUGUAACCCAUGUGUAGUAAGCAAAGGUACGAGUUUUCCAAACAGCAGCUGCAUCUCUAAUAAUCUGAAUAAUCAAAGCACCUUAUCCUCCAAUCAAAUUGAAUCACCAGCAAUGUUUGAAACUUAUAAACCUGCUUUAAUCCAUCAAAUCGGAGGAAAUUAUGCAGCAGAACAUUCCAGUGCAAUGAAUGUCAAAGGUGUCGCAACCUCUAUUUCCUCCAAAACUAGUUUGGCUCCUCCAAUGCUCCCGCUUAACUCCGGGAGCACCCCGUCAAAUAAUUUUAGUUGUAUUUAUUCAACGUCAGAUAGCAUCUCCUAUCAGCCUAUAAAUCUACCGAAUACCUUCCAAAACCGGCCAGAGUUUGUAGAUCAAGUCAACAUUGGUCCGUCAUCGAGUUUCAACAAUGAUACUGCCAUCAACUCAAUUAAAAUGACGCCUACAAGUCAAAAAUAUGUGCCAUCAAAUGAGCAGUUAAUUUACAAUGCGACAGCCAACUCUGGAUCUUCAACUUUAACGAACUUCAACUUAAGUGCUAUUCUUCCGGAGAUGAAUGACAAGCUAAGGUGCCAUACCUCAUCAAAUAGUUCUUGCAUCACAAGGGGACUUUCAGAGCAGUCAUCCUUUGGAAAAUAUGACUUUUAUCAAUAUCCAGAAAAGAAGGCCCAUCCUCUAACAGACAAAAAAGUACAUCAAAUGCAGCAUGCAAGUCAAACUGUGCCUCCUAAUCAAUUCAAUUUGAGUAGUAAGUCUAGCUCCUCCUCAUUUCAAAAUAAUUUGGAUACAUCAUGA
RNAcentral lists this long non-coding RNA (6879 nucleotides) under Bemisia tabaci. RNAcentral's name for it is "lncRNA ENSSSA1UGG004038". Lineage: Eukaryota; Metazoa; Arthropoda; Insecta; Hemiptera; Aleyrodidae. The record is from RNAcentral.